Molecule: RNA transcript, 5133 nt
Organism: Oncorhynchus kisutch (coho salmon)
Lineage: Eukaryota; Metazoa; Chordata; Actinopteri; Salmoniformes; Salmonidae
Gene name: semaphorin-5A
Exons: 23
Source: RefSeq, a predicted model, not a curated record
CUUGCACGCAGCAACCAACAUAGCCGCGCACUCUGCAAAGCUCCGCCAGAUCAUCCUUCGUGCUACAGUUAUAACAAAGUUUAAAGUGUCCGCGUCGCUUGGUUUGCGUCCUGGUCCCUUGUCUCAGUGACCGAGGCGAUUGUCUGUGAGCUGCAGCGGAGCUCAGCAGUGCGUUGCUGUGUCCAGUUACAUAGCGCGCUGGGCGAGGAGACACGAGGACAGAAAAAUAUACGACCCUGGAGAGACGGCAUAGAGAGAGAGACCUGGGAAAUGUGCUGAGCAGUCAGAGACUGAGUUACUGGACGUUUUGGAUAUGAGAACGCAAACUGUGAUUACUCUAUCUUUACCUUCAUUUCCCUGAGCCACGCCAACGCUCAUCUUCUUCUUCAGACUGGUUGAAACUCGCAGCUUCGCUCCUGCUAGAUGAACGGGAGUAGUUGGAGAUUUCAUUUGGUGUGUCUCUCCGAUGCGAUUGGCUCACGGCCCGACAGGAAGUGAGCGACACCCCACCUCCCCAUGGCUCAGGCUUCGGCGGGCCGCUCCUCCCUUGCCCAGCAUGUUGUGCUGCUUGUGCAGUGCAUUCUAGUCCUGCAAGCUGGGGGCGUGGUCUGCAGGAAAGGGCCAGUGCUGCUGCCUGAGUCGCCCUGUCACCGGGCUGAACACCCUCUUAUCUCACACACAGAUAUGGAGCCUUGGAUCCACAGGUUCCGGGCUGAGGGCACAGUGGAUUACUCUCAGCUAACCUUUGACCCCAGCCAGAACGAACUGAUAGUCGGAGCCAGAAACCACCUGUUCAGACUCAAUCUGGAGGACCUCUCGCUGAUCCAGGAGGCGGAAUGGCACUGUGAUGAGUUCACUAAGGGAGCCUGCUUCAGCCGGGGCAAGUCAGAGGAGGAAUGUCAGAACUACAUCCGAGUUUUGCUGGUGAAUGGAGACAGACUGUUUACAUGCGGAACCAACGCUUUCACACCAAUCUGCACCAACCGCACUCUGACCAACCUGACAGAGAUCCAUGACCAGAUCAGUGGGAUGGCCCGUUGUCCCUACAACCCUCUCCAUAACUCCACAGCCCUGAUCACGUCCAGUGGAGAUCUGUAUGCUGCUACCGCCAUGGACUUCUCUGGCAGAGACCCAGCUAUCUACCGCAGUCUAGGGGGGCUGCCGCCUCUACGCACCGCACAGUACAACUCCAAAUGGCUGAAUGAGCCUAACUUUGUCUCCUCCUACGACAUCGGGAACUUCACCUACUUCUUCUUUCGGGAGAACGCGUUGGAACAUGACUGCGGUCGGACCGUGUUCUCACGUGCUGCCCGGGUCUGUAAGAACGACAUUGGAGGACGCUUCCUAUUGGAGGACACCUGGACCACGUUCAUGAAGGCUCGGUUGAACUGCUCUCGACCGGGAGAGAUACCGUUCAACUAUAAUGAACUACAGGGAAUGUUCUACCUGCCAGAGUUAGACCUGCUCUAUGGGAUCUUUACUACUAACGUGAAUAGCAUAGCAGCGUCUGCGGUGUGUGCCUUCAACCUCAGUGCCAUCACCCGUGUGUUCGGUGGCCCCUUCAAGUACCAGGAGAACUCUCGCUCCGCCUGGCUACCUUACCCCAACCCUAACCCUGACUUCCAGUGUGGUACCAUAGACUAUGGUUCCUAUUUGAACCUGACAGAGAGGAACCUGCAGGAUGCCCAGAAGUUCCUGCUGAUGAACGAGGUGAUCCAGCCGGUCCAGCCUGUCCCUUACUUCAUGGAGGACGACGUUCGCUUCUCCCACGUAGCUGUGGACGUGGUGCAAGGCAAAGACAUGCUGUUCCACAUCAUCUACCUGGCUACAGACUAUGGCACCAUCCGUAAGGUCCUGUCUCCUCUGAACCAGACCAUGGGCAGCUGUCUAUUGGAUGAGAUUGAGUUGUUUCCGCCCAGGAGGAAACAGCCAAUCAGAAGCCUCCUGAUCCUGCACAGCAGCAGUGAACUGUAUGUCGGCGUCAGGGACCAAGUCAUCAAGAUACCACUGAUGAGAUGCGACUUUCACAAGACCAGAGAGGGGUGUGUUGGGGCGAGGGACCCCUACUGUGGCUGGGACCUGGUGUUAAGGAAGUGUACCACCCUGGAGGAGAGUGUCAGCAUGAGCCAAUGGGAACAGAGCAUCACUAAAUGCCCUGUGCGUAACUUGACGUUGGAUGGAGGGUUUGGGCCAUGGACAGGCUGGGGGGCCUGUAGCCAUACUGAUGGGGGCAGUGCUGGUUCCUGUCUGUGUAGAACCAGGCCUUGUGAUAAUCCCAAACCCCAGUGUGGGGGUCAGUCCUGUCACGGACUCAGCGUGGAGGUUGCCAACUGCUCCAGGAACGGUGUGUGGAGCCCCUGGACUCUGUGGAUCCCGUGUAGCACCAGCUGUGGCAUUGGCUUCCAGGUCCGGCAGAGGUCCUGUAGCAACCCCACCCCGCGCCACGGAGGACGAGUGUGUGUGGGGCAGAACAGAGAGGAAAGGUAUUGCAACGAGCACCUGCCCUGCCCACCUCAUGUCUAUUGGUCGGCAUGGUCAGCAUGGGAACGCUGCACAGUGGCCUGCGGAGGCGGCAUCCAAUCACGCCGCAGGACCUGCGAGAACGGUAACGAGUGCCCCGGGUGUGCUCAGGAGUACCAGUCGUGUAACAACCAGCCCUGUCCUGACCUGAAGAAGACCACCCCCUGGACCCCCUGGACGCCGGUCAACAUCUCGGACAACGGCGGUCACUACGAGCAGCGGUUCCGGUACACCUGUAAGGCCCGUGUCCCUGAACCUGCUCUGUUGGAGGUGGGUCGACAGAGGAUAGAGAUGAGGUACUGCUCCAGGGACGGCUCCACUGGAUGCUCUGCUGACAGAGAUCUGCUGCGGUCGGGUAAGAUCUCGGGCCACACUGUGAACAGAGACUGGACAUCCUGGAGCUCCUGGUCUCAGUGCAGUAGAGACUGCAGCCGAGGGAUACGAAGCCGUAAACGGUUCUGUGACUCCCCUGAACCACCGCACGGAGGACAGACCUGCCUGGGACCUGCUCAGGAGUACCAGGAGUGUAACAUCACACCCUGCCCAGUGGAUGGUAGCUGGUCGUGCUGGUCUGGCUGGUCUAUGUGUUCAGUGACGUGUGGAGGGGGACACUAUACGAGGUCACGCACCUGCAACAACCCCCCACCAGCCUACGGAGGAGAUAUCUGUCUGGGACUACACACUGAAGAGGCUCUCUGUAACAUACAAUCGUGUCCAGAGAGUUGGUCUAACUGGUCCCUAUGGUGCCAGUGUGACAGUUCUGGCUCCCAGCUGCGGGUUCGACACUGUGAUGUCCUGUUCCCUACUGGAAACCAAUGUUCAGGAAGUCACACUGAGACCAGGGCCUGCCCACCUGACUCCAACGUUAUACCGGAAGUCUCCAUCGCUCGUUCCAGUCAGGAGGAGAGAAGAUGCGGAGAUUUCAACGUGUUCCAUAUGAUCGCUGUAGGCCUGAGUAGUUCUAUCCUGGGUUGUUUGGUCACCUUACUGGUGUACACCUACUGCCAGCGCUAUCAGCAGCAGUCUCACGAUGCUACAGUCAUCCACCCCAUCUCAGCAUCACCACUCAACACCUCCAUCACCAACCACAUCAACAAACUGGACAAAUACGACUCCAUUAAGCCCGAUGUGUCUGUACUCUUGACCCUGGACGACCCCGGCAUGUGCCAGCCUCUGUCUACUAACAUGGGCGUGUCCAUGCGUGGCUUGGAGAUUUUCUACUAACUUUCUACUGACUUCUGACCUCUACAACAUCCCGCCUCUUGACCCACCUCCUAGCCUAUGAACAACCUCCUUCCACUUCCUCUUCCUCUCCACCGUGCCCCCACUUCCUGUGAUGCUUCCUGUGUGCGUCAGGCUUUCAAUAAGAACAACCUGAUUCUGGAGGAAAGAAAUAAGUACUUCAACCCCCAACUAGCCGGGAAGACUUACACCAAUUCAUACUUCACUGACCUCAACACUUACGAUGACUAUUAACCCUUUGUUGGGCUACAGCAUCGGGGAGACACACCCUUGUGCAGACAACAACCCCACACCACUCGUUAUGACAAUGUCCUAUAUUUUUCCACCUCGUAAUGAAAUCUAUGACGUUUUAUGUGGGACCCUCCCGCUCUGGGACCCAUUGGCAACAGCCAUCCAAUCCAAUCAAAUUACAGCCACACGGUGAUGUCAUCGAAGGGACAGGACCAAAAAGGAAACUCGAAGUGCUUUCUGAAUGGGAAGGACCCUGCUGUGAUUUCCUGUCACUCUCUUGUCCCAGAGCUGUGUCGGUUCCAGGGGAAGAAAACAAACGAACUGCUUUGCAUGAUUUUCUCUGUCACUCUGUUCAGUUUUGCAUGGUUGGUAGCGGGCAGGCAGGCAGGCAGGCGGGCCACUCACUGUCCGCUGUGCUAGUGUCCUACAGAGGACCCCAAAGGGGUGGCGUUAGUUAUGCCUGAUGAAUUUGAUCCAACUAUAAUGCUCAACGGUAGAUAGUCAAGUGCUUAGCGUACCCAGAGUAACUGUCACUCAAUAGCUACCCCAGGUUGUUGUGGAUUUUAAACCAAUCACAACUCUGCAUUAUGUAGACUAUUGUUAAACCGAUCUUGUUCUAUACCGUCUACCGUUGAGUAACUAAAAUACUAGCCCUUUUGUUUAAAGAGGGGGUUGGUUAUUCAAAUAAAGACAGGAUGUAGAUAUGUGUCCAUGUUUCUUUCUCUUACGGGGCUGGCGUUGGUGUAGCAGUUAGCGGUGGUUGAGAUAUCAGUGUAUAAUCUUUCUUGCUUUUUGUUGCUGUUAUUGUACAGUAAGCUCAUCAUUUGGAAGCAUAUUUCUCUGUGUCUUUAUAGGUCCAUUUACUCAAUGUCAGUGUUAAAAUCAAUCAUUUGAAAUUUGAGUAGAAGAAAUUACCUGGGAAAUAUAUAAGUAGAUCAUGUUCAAACUGCCAUCAUACUUGUUAAUAUUUUUUUUUAAUUUGUGGUACUUUUCAAGGUGAAACAUCUCUCUUUUGUUUAAAGAUGUACAUCCAUAUUCAGUAUGUUGAUUUCUUCAAGGUUUUCAAUUGUAACUAUUUUUAUUUAUUUUUUACGUUUGCUUGUUUUAUUGUGGAUAAAUAAAAUGAAAACGCUUGGUAUA